UACAGAGGGGGCAAGCGUUGUUCGGAAUUACUGGGCGUAAAGGGCGCGUAGGCGGCCUGCUAAGUCGAACGUGAAAUCCCUGGGCUCAACCCAGGAACUGCGUCCGAUACUGGUUGGCUUGAAUCCGGGAGAGGGAUGUGGAAUUCCAGGUGUAGAGGUGAAAUUCGUAGAUAUUGGGAAGAACACCGGUGGCGAAGGCGGCGACCUGGUCCUUAUACUGACGCUGAGGCGCGAAAGCGUGGGGAGCAAACAGG
RNAcentral lists this ribosomal RNA (254 nucleotides) under uncultured bacterium. RNAcentral's name for it is "partial 16S ribosomal RNA". It matches the Rfam family "Bacterial small subunit ribosomal RNA", at positions 524 to 776 of the family's 1533-position model. The record is from RNAcentral.